Molecule: ribosomal RNA, 426 nt
Filed under: uncultured Actinomycetes bacterium
Lineage: Bacteria; Bacillati; Actinomycetota; Actinomycetes
Description: bacterial SSU rRNA
Rfam family: Bacterial small subunit ribosomal RNA
Source: RNAcentral
AACGCGAAGAACCUUACCAAGGUUUGACAUGCAGGGAAAAGCCGUAGAGAUACGGUGUCCGCAAGGGCCCUGCACAGGUGGUGCAUGGCUGUCGUCAGCUCGUGUCGUGAGAUGUUGGGUUAAGUCCCGCAACGAGCGCAACCCUCGUCCUAUGUUGCCAGCGGGUAAUGCCGGGGACUCAUAGGAGACUGCCGGGGUCAACUCGGAGGAAGGUGGGGAUGACGUCAAGUCCUCAUGCCCCUUAUAUCUUGGGCUGCAAACAUGCUACAAUGGCCAGUACAGAGGGCUGCGAGACCGCAAGGUGGAGCGAAUCUCAAAAAGCUGGUCUCAGUUCGGAUUGGGGUCUGCAACUCGACCCCAUGAAGUCGGAGUCGCUAGUAAUCGCGAAUCAGCAACGUCGCGGUGAAUACGUUCCCGGGCCUUGUA